UAACAUGAGAGUUUGAUCCUGGCUCAGGAUGAACGCUGGCGGCGUGCUUAACACAUGCAAGUCGAACGGACUCAUAUUGAAACCUAGUGAUUUGUGAGUUAGUGGCGGACGGGUGAGUAACGCGUGGAAAACCUGCCGUAUACUGGGGGAUAACACUUAGAAAUAGGUGCUAAUACCGCAUAAGCGCACAGCUUCGCAUGAAGCAGUGUGGAAAACAAAAAGUUAAAACUUUUGGUGGUAUACGAUGGUUCCGCGUCUGAUUAGCUAGUUGGCGGGGUAACAGCCCACCAAGGCGACGAUCAGUAGCCGGCCUGAGAGGGUGAACGGCCACAUUGGGACUGAGA
This 344-nucleotide ribosomal RNA is filed under the name Lachnospiraceae bacterium. RNAcentral's name for it is "bacterial SSU rRNA". It matches the Rfam family "Bacterial small subunit ribosomal RNA", at positions 1 to 324 of the family's 1533-position model. Lineage: Bacteria; Bacillati; Bacillota; Clostridia; Lachnospirales; Lachnospiraceae. The record is from RNAcentral.